GUGGGGAAUAUUCCGCAAUGGACGAAAGUCUGACGGAGCAACGCCGCGUGAGUGAUGAAGGUUUUCGGACUGUAAAGCUCUGUUGUUUAGGACGAAAGUGCCUGUUGCGAACAGUUACAGGUAUUGACGGUACUAAACGAGGAAGCCACGGUUAACUACGUGCCAGCAGCCGCGGUAAUACGUAGGUGGCAAGCGUUGUCCGGAAUUAUUGGGCGUAAAGAGCAUGUAGGCGGAGAUUUAAGUCUGUUGUGAAAAUGCGGGGCUCAACCCCGUAUUGCGAUGGAAACUGAAUUUCUUGAGUGCAGGAGAGGAAAGGGGAAUUCCCAGUGUAGCGGUGAAAUGCGUAGAUAUUGGGAGGAACACCAGUGGCGAAGGCGCCUUUCUGGACUGUGUCUGACGCUGAGAUGCGAAAGCCAGGGUAGCGAACGGGAUUAGAUACCCCUGUAGUCC
This 450-nucleotide ribosomal RNA is filed under the name uncultured bacterium. RNAcentral's name for it is "partial 16S ribosomal RNA". It matches the Rfam family "Bacterial small subunit ribosomal RNA", at positions 354 to 796 of the family's 1533-position model. The record is from RNAcentral.